RNAcentral lists this ribosomal RNA (404 nucleotides) under Fusobacteriota bacterium. RNAcentral describes it as "Fusobacteria bacterium partial 16S ribosomal RNA". It matches the Rfam family "Bacterial small subunit ribosomal RNA", at positions 355 to 776 of the family's 1533-position model. Lineage: Bacteria; Fusobacteriati; Fusobacteriota. The record is from RNAcentral.
UGGGGAAUAUUGCACAAUGGAGGGAACUCUGAUGCAGCGACGCCGCGUGAGUGAUGAAGGAAUUCGUUUCGUAAAACUCUGUUCUAUGGGAAGAAAAGGACUGUACCAUAGGAGAAAGCUCCGGCUAAAUACGUGCCAGCAGCCGCGGUAAUACGUAUGGAGCGAGCGUUGUCCGGAAUUAUUGGGCGUAAAGUGUGCGCUGGCGGCUUUACAAGUUGGAUGUGAAAUAUUGUGGCUCAACCACAAACGUGCAUCCAAAACUGCAAAGCUUGAGUUAAGGAGAGGUAAGUGGAAUUCCUGGUGUAGCGGUGGAAUGCGUAGAUAUCAGGAGGAAUACCGGUGGCGAAGGCGACUUACUGGACUUAAACUGACGCUCAGGCACGAAAGCGUGGGGAGCAAACAGG